AAUGGCUGCAGUAAUUUGACUGUACAAAGGUAGCAUAAUCAUUAGUUUUUUAAUUAAAAGCUUGUAUGAAAGGUUGGACGAAAUAAAAUCUGUCUCUUUUUAAAAAAAAUUAGAAUUUUAUUUUUAAGUUAAAAAGCUUAAAUUUUUAUAAAAGACGAGAAGACCCUAUAGAGUUUUAUAAUUUUAAUUUAGUAAUUAAUUUAGAUUUAUUUAUUUUAUUUUAUUUAAAAUUAUUUUAUUGGGGUAAUAAAAAGAUUAAAAAAAUUCUUUUUUAUAUAAAUCAUUAAUAUAUGAAAAUUUAUGAUCCAUUAAGUUUUGAUUAUAAGAUUAAAUUACCUUAGGGAUAACAGCGUAAUUUUUUUUUAGAGUUCUUAUCGAUAAAAAAGUUUGCGACCUCGAUGUUGGAUUAAAGAUUAAUUUAGGUGUAGAAGUUUAAAUUUUUGGUCUGUUCGACCAUUGAAUCUUUACAUGAUCUGAGUUCAAACCGGUGUAAGCCAGGUCGGUUUCUAUC
This 511-nucleotide ribosomal RNA is filed under the name Trechus felix. Its description in RNAcentral is "partial 16S ribosomal RNA". It matches the Rfam family "Bacterial large subunit ribosomal RNA", at positions 1926 to 2642 of the family's 2925-position model. Lineage: Eukaryota; Metazoa; Arthropoda; Insecta; Coleoptera; Carabidae. The record is from RNAcentral.